GUCUAUGGCCAUGCCACCCCAAAUGCAUCCCAUCCCAUCCAACCUCAGAAGCUAAGCAGGGUUGGGCCUACUUAGUACUUGGAUGGGAGAACAAGGCAUCUUGUGCUAGAUU
This 112-nucleotide ribosomal RNA is filed under the name Jaculus jaculus (lesser Egyptian jerboa). Lineage: Eukaryota; Metazoa; Chordata; Mammalia; Rodentia; Dipodidae. The record is from RNAcentral.